This 253-nucleotide ribosomal RNA is filed under the name uncultured bacterium. RNAcentral describes it as "partial 16S ribosomal RNA". It matches the Rfam family "Bacterial small subunit ribosomal RNA", at positions 524 to 776 of the family's 1533-position model. The record is from RNAcentral.
CACGUAGGGCGCAAGCGUUGUCCGGAAUUAUUGGGCGUAAAGAGCUCGUAGGCGGUCUGUUGCGUCCGCUGUGAAAACUCGGGGCUUAACCCCGAGCCUGCAGUGGAUACGGGCAGACUAGAGGUAGGUAGGGGAGAAUGGAAUUCCCGGUGUAGCUGUGAAAUGCGCAGAUAUCGGGAGGAACACCGAUGGCGAAGGCAGGUCUCUGGGCUGACACUGACGCUCAUGCACGAAAGCGUGGGGAGCAAACAGG